This 253-nucleotide ribosomal RNA is filed under the name uncultured bacterium. RNAcentral's name for it is "partial 16S ribosomal RNA". It matches the Rfam family "Bacterial small subunit ribosomal RNA", at positions 524 to 776 of the family's 1533-position model. The record is from RNAcentral.
UACGUAGGGAGCAAGCGUUGUCCGGAAUCAUUGGGCGUAAAGAGCUCGUAGGCGGUUUGUCGCGUCUGCUGUGAAAUCCCGAGGCUCAACCUCGGGUCUGCAGUGGGUACGGGCAGACUGGAGUGCGGUAGGGGAGAAUGGAAUUCCUGGUGUAGCGGUGGAAUGCGCAGAUAUCAGGAGGAACACCGAUGGCGAAGGCAGUUCUCUGGGCCGUAACUGACGCUGAGGAGCGAAAGCGUGGGGAGCGAACAGG